UUUAGGGCAGUGCCACCGAGCCUUGAGUCUCUUACAGCUGUUGGCUCAAUGAUGAUGAAGGCUGGUGGGGUUGCUCUCUGAGUUGGGCCUUUCCAGUUGGCCAAGGGCACACUGGGAACAGGAGCACGUCUGUUAGGACUGGAGUGAUGGUGAACUAUGCCUGGGUAGAAUGAAGCCUGAGGGAUCUCUGGUGGAGUUCCACAGAGGUCCUUCACAGAUCCUUCUUCUGACCCAGGUAUAGGGGAGAAAGACUCAGCCAGCCAGUAGCUAG
RNAcentral lists this non-coding RNA (271 nucleotides) under Camelus bactrianus (Bactrian camel). RNAcentral describes it as "Eukaryotic large subunit ribosomal RNA". It matches the Rfam family "Eukaryotic large subunit ribosomal RNA", at positions 675 to 954 of the family's 3401-position model. RNAcentral also lists the same sequence under 1 other name. Lineage: Eukaryota; Metazoa; Chordata; Mammalia; Artiodactyla; Camelidae. The record is from Rfam by way of RNAcentral.